Molecule: ribosomal RNA, 449 nt
Filed under: uncultured bacterium
Lineage: Bacteria
Description: bacterial SSU rRNA
Rfam family: Bacterial small subunit ribosomal RNA
Source: RNAcentral
GCCAGACUCCUACGGGAGGCAGCAGUGGGGGAUAUUGCACAAUGGGGGGAACCCUGAUGCAGCGACGCCGCGUGGGUGAAGGAGUAUUUCGGUAUGUAAAGCCCCAUCGGCAGGGAAGAAGCAAGACGGUACCCGACUAAGAAGCCCCGGCUAACUACGUGCCAGCAGCCGCGGUAAUACGUAGGGGGCAAGCGUUAUCCGGAUUUACUGGGUGUAAAGGGAGCGUAGACGGUAUGGCAAGUCUGAUGUGAAAACCCGGGGCUCAACCCCGGGACUGCAUUGGAAACUGCCGAACUAGAGUGUCGGAGAGGCAAGUGGAAUUCCUAGUGUAGCGGUGAAAUGCGUAGAUAUUAGGAGGAACACCAGUGGCGAAGGCGGCUUGCUGGACGAUGACUGACGUUGAGGCUCGAAAGCGUGGGGAGCAAACAGGAUUAGAUACCCUCGUACAC